GCACGUGAUGAAUACUAUUCACAUAGUUUCCUGUCAGUCCGAGCACUGCAUGAGGUCAUAGCAUUUUCUCAACUCAGCUCACACUGACGC
Molecule: small RNA, 90 nt
Filed under: Leishmania major strain Friedlin
Lineage: Eukaryota; Euglenozoa; Kinetoplastea; Trypanosomatida; Trypanosomatidae
Description: Leishmania major c/D snoRNA
Source: RNAcentral